UUGAUACUCCCUCCAUCCGAAAAUACUUGUCAUCAAAAUGGAUAAAAAGGGAUGUAUCUAGAUGUAUUUUAGUUUUAGAUACAUUUCUUUUUAUCUAUUUUGAUGACAAGUAUUUUGAGACAAAGGGAGUACUUU
Non-coding RNA from Triticum aestivum (bread wheat), 135 nucleotides. The record is from Rfam. Lineage: Eukaryota; Viridiplantae; Streptophyta; Magnoliopsida; Poales; Poaceae.